AAGUCGAACGCAGUAGCAAUACUGAGUGGCAAACAGGUGAGUAUAAUGUGGGAAUCUGCCUUUUGGUUUGGAAUAGCACGGGGAAACUUGUGCUAAUACCGAAUAAGCCUUUACAGGGAAAGUUUUAAUGCCGAAAGAUGAGCCCGCACUUGAUUAGCUAGUUGGUAAGGUAAAAGCUUACCAAGGCAACGAUCAAUAGCUGUUCUUAGAGGAAGACCAGCCACAUUGGGACUGAGACACGGCCCAGACUCCUACGGGAGGCAGCAGUGGGGAAUCUUGCACAAUGGGGGAAACCCUGAUGCAGCGAUGCCGCGUGAGUAAAGAAGGCCCUUGGGUUGUAAAACUCUUUCGUCGGGGAAGAAAAUGACUGUACCCGAAUAAGAAGGUCCGGCUAACUUCGUGCCAGCAGCCGCGGUAAUACGAAGGGACCUAGCGUAGUUCGGAAUUACUGGGCUUAAAGAGCUCGUAGGUGGGUUAAAAUAGUUGAUGGUGAAAUCCCAAGGCUCAGCCUUGGAACUGCCAUCAAAACUUUUUAGCUAGAGUGUGAUA
Molecule: ribosomal RNA, 549 nt
Filed under: uncultured marine bacterium
Lineage: Bacteria
Description: bacterial SSU rRNA
Rfam family: Bacterial small subunit ribosomal RNA
Source: RNAcentral